This is a long non-coding RNA of Mytilus californianus (California mussel), 707 nucleotides long. RefSeq lists it as uncharacterized. The record is from RefSeq and is a predicted model, not a curated record. NCBI's taxonomy places the organism in Eukaryota, Metazoa, Mollusca, Bivalvia, Mytilida, Mytilidae. The transcript has 3 exons.
GGAAAGAGAACAUAACAGGUUUGAACAUAUAUUAUCACACACAUACAUGUCAGAGGAAAGAGAACAUAACAGGUUUGAACAUAUAUUAUCAUACACAUACAUGUCAGAGGAAAGAGAACAUAACAGGUUUUAGCAUAUAUUAUCAUACACAUACAUGUCAGAGGAAAGAGAACAUAACAGGUUUGAACAUAUAUUAUCAUACACAUACAUGUCAGAGGAAAAAGAACAUAACAGGUUUGAACAUAUAUAUCAUACACAUACAUGUCAGAGGAAAGAGAACAUAACAGAUUUGAACAUAUAUUAUCAUACACAUACAUGUCAGAGGAAAGAGAACAUAACAGGUUUGAACAUAUAUUAUCAUACGAGGAAAGAGAACAUAACAGGUUUGAACAUAUAUAAUCAUACACAUACAUGUCAGAGGAAAGAGAACAUAACAGGUUUGAACAUAUAUUAUCAUACACAAACAUGUCAGAGGAAAGAAAACACAAUUAAACACUCACAGAAUCAUACACAUACAUGUACGAGAAAUAAGAAUAUAACAGUUUGAAAACACAGAAUCAUCAAAAUAUAGAUCAGACAAAAGCGAACAUAGCAGGUUUGAUCACACAUAAUCAUACACAUACAUGUCAAAGGAAAGAGAAAAUAACAGGUUUGAACCCAUAUAAUCGUACACAUACAUCAGAGAAAACAGAAUAUAACAGUUUGAA